AUUGAACGCUGGCGGCAGGCUUAACACAUGCAAGUCGAGCGGAGAUGAGGUGCUUGCACCUUAUCUUAGCGGCGGACGGGUGAGUAAUGCUUAGGAAUCUGCCUAUUAGUGGGGGACAACAUUCCGAAAGGAAUGCUAAUACCGCAUACGUCCUACGGGAGAAAGCAGGGGAUCUUCGGACCUUGCGCUAAUAGAUGAGCCUAAGUCGGAUUAGCUAGUUGGUGGGGUAAAGGCCUACCAAGGCGACGAUCUGUAGCGGGUCUGAGAGGAUGAUCCGCCACACUGGGACUGAGACACGGCCCAGACUCCUACGGGAGGCAGCAGUGGGGAAUAUUGGACAAUGGGGGAAACCCUGAUCCAGCCAUGCCGCGUGUGUGAAGAAGGCCUUAUGGUUGUAAAGCACUUUAAGCGAGGAGGAGGCUACUGAGACUAAUACUCUUGGAUAGUGGACGUUACUCGCAGAAUAGGCACCGGCUAACUCUGUGCCAGCAGCCGCGGUAA
RNAcentral lists this ribosomal RNA (501 nucleotides) under uncultured bacterium. Its description in RNAcentral is "partial 16S ribosomal RNA". It matches the Rfam family "Bacterial small subunit ribosomal RNA", at positions 30 to 523 of the family's 1533-position model. The record is from RNAcentral.